RNAcentral lists this ribosomal RNA (475 nucleotides) under uncultured bacterium. Its description in RNAcentral is "bacterial SSU rRNA". It matches the Rfam family "Bacterial small subunit ribosomal RNA", at positions 335 to 800 of the family's 1533-position model. The record is from RNAcentral.
ACUCCUACGGGAGGCAGCAGUGGGGAAUAUUGGACAAUGGGGGCAACCCUGAUCCAGCAAUGCCAUGUGUGUGAAGAAGGCCUUAGGGUUGUAAAGCACUUUAGUUGGGGAGGAAAGCCUCAAGGUUAAUAGCCGUUGGGGGAGGACGUUACCCAAAGAAUAAGCACCGGCUAACUCCGUGCCAGCAGCCGCGGUAAUACGGGGGUGCAAGCGUUAAUCGGAAUUACUGGGCGUAAAGGGUCUGUAGGUGGUUUGUUAAGUCAGAUGUGAAAGCCCAGGGCUCAACCUUGGAACUGCAUUUGAUACUGGCAAACUAGAGUACGGUAGAGGGAAUAGGGAAUUUCUGGUGUAGCGGUGAAAUGCGUAGAGAUCAGAAGGAACACCAAAUGGCGAAGGCAACAUUCUGGACCGAUACUGACACUGAGGGACGAAAGCGUGGGGAUCAAACAGGAUUAGAUACCCUGGUAGGUCAGUC